ACGAACGCUGGCGGCGUGCUUAACACAUGCAAGUCGAACGGAAAGGCCCUGCUUUUGUGGGGUGCUCGAGUGGCGAACGGGUGAGUAACACGUGAGUAACCUGCCCUUGACUUUGGGAUAACUUCAGGAAACUGGGGCUAAUACCGGAUAGGAGCUCCUGCUGCAUGGUGGGGGUUGGAAAGUUUCGGCGGUUGGGGAUGGACUCGCGGCUUAUCAGCUUGUUGGUGGGGUAGUGGCUUACCAAGGCUUUGACGGGUAGCCGGCCUGAGAGGGUGACUGGCCACAUUGGGACUGAGAUACGGCCCAGACUCCUACGGGAGGCAGCAGUGGGGAAUAUUGCACAAUGGGCGGAAGCCUGAUGCAGCAACGCCGCGUGCGGGAUGACGGCCUUCGGGUGGUAAACCGCUUUCGCCUGUGACGAAGCGUGAGUGACGGUAAUGGGGAAAGAAGCACCGGCUAACUACGU
RNAcentral lists this ribosomal RNA (466 nucleotides) under uncultured bacterium. RNAcentral's name for it is "partial 16S ribosomal RNA". It matches the Rfam family "Bacterial small subunit ribosomal RNA", at positions 29 to 506 of the family's 1533-position model. The record is from RNAcentral.